This is a long non-coding RNA of Pongo pygmaeus (Bornean orangutan), 1188 nucleotides long. RefSeq lists it as uncharacterized. Lineage: Eukaryota; Metazoa; Chordata; Mammalia; Primates; Hominidae. The transcript is spliced from 4 exons. The record is from RefSeq and is a predicted model, not a curated record.
UUGAGUCACAUUUUUGCAUGGUUCUUGAUUGACUUUCUGGUGCUCUGCCUGGAGGUCUUUGCUUAUCUGUGAGUUGCCUGAGUCACAUUUUUACAUGGUUCUGGUGCUCUGCCUGCAGGUCAAGAAGGAGCCAGUAUCUCCAGGAGGAGUGAGAGAGUGCUCUGCCAGUGUGAAGUGUAAAUCCUUGAGAGGCUAUGGCAAGGGUCCAUGCCUGAAUGUGUAGAGCAAGAACAGCUGGAGGCUGUGGCUUUCUCCAGGAAGAGGUUUCUAAAUUUGCCUCUCAGAAGAUAUCAGAAAGUUAAAGUUUCUCUUGCUGCCACCAUGUAAGAAAGACCUUUUUACCUCCCACCAUGAUUCUAAGGCCUCCCCAGCCACAUGGAACUGCUUUCAUUUGAUCUCUUUUUGAAUCAGAAGACCCAGAAAACUUGGAUCCACUUCUGGCUCUGAUCCCUCUGGGCAGUGUGAUUUGGAGUACUGCUUUGCAGUCUGGCAGCUUUCCUACUGCACUCCGAGGACAAGCUGAAUGCCUCGCUUGGAUCUACGAGGCCUACGUGGGAAUCCCGCUUCCACUGGCUUCAUUCCCUACUAGGCAUCCACCCCACUCCACGAGGCCGCUAUCCCUGACUUCUUCCAACACAUCAGGCCUUCCUCAGGGAACUUGCCUAUGCCUGUUCUUCUUCUUUUUUCUUUCUAUACGGCAUCUCACUCUGUCGCCCAGGCUGGAGUGCAGUGGUGCGAUCUCGGCUCACUGCAAGCUCCGCCUCCUGGGUUCACACCAUUCUCCUGCCUCAGCCUCCCGAGUAGCUGGGACUACAGGCACCCACCACCCCGCCCGGCUAAUUUUUUGUGUUUUUAGUAGAGACAGGGUUUCACCGUGUUAGCCAGGAUGGUCUCGAUCUCCUGACCUCGUGAUCCGCCCGCCUCUGCCUCCCAAGCCUGUUCUUCUUAAGUAUCUGCCUAGGCUAAGUGUGGUGGCUCACGCCUGUAAUUGCAGCACUUUGGGAGGCCCAGGCGGGUGGAUCACUUGAGGCCAGGAAUUCGAGACCAGCCUGGCAAACAUGGCGAGACCCUGUCUCUAUUAAGAAUACAAAAAUUAAUCAGGUGUGGUGGUGCAUGCCUGUAGCUCCAGUUGCUCGGGAGGCUGAGGCACGAGAAUUGUUUGAACCCAGGAGGCAGAGGUUUCAAUAA